AGGAUUAACGCUGGCGGCGUGCCUAACACAUGCAAGUCGAACGAGGUAGCAAUACCUAGUGGCAGACGGGUGAGUAGCGCGUGGUCAACCUACCGUUGAGUGGGGGAUAACUAGCCGAAAGGUUAGCUAAUACCGCAUACGUCUCCGAGGGGCAUCCCUUGGCGAUAAAAGGAGCAAUCCGCUCGAUGACGGGACCGCGUCCCAUUAGCUAGUUGGUGGGGUAACGGCCUACCAAGGCAUCGAUGGGUAGCUGGUUUGAGAGAGCGACCAGCCACACUGGGACUGAGAUACGGCCCAGACUCCUACGGGAGGCAGCAGUGAGGAAUUUUCCGCAAUGGGCGAAAGCCUGACGGAGCGACGCCGCGUGUGGGAAGAAGGGCCUUCGGGUCGUAAACCACUGUCGAAGGGGAAGAUAAUGACGGUACCCUUGGAGGAAGCCCCGGCUAACUACGCGCCAGCAGCCGC
RNAcentral lists this ribosomal RNA (465 nucleotides) under uncultured bacterium. RNAcentral's name for it is "SSU rRNA". It matches the Rfam family "Bacterial small subunit ribosomal RNA", at positions 26 to 518 of the family's 1533-position model. The record is from RNAcentral.